AAAAAAUACACAUGCAAACAUAUGAGGUCUUUGGUUUGUCUCAUAAAUGGUGAUAUUUAUGAAUAGACGUACACUGAUAGUACACUACAGCGUACACUGUUUGUUGGGCAAAUGUAGAAAUGUAAAUGUGGACGUACACUAAAACGUACACUACAGCGUACACUGUUUUUUGGGCAAAUGUAGAAAUGUAAAUGAGGACGUACACUAAAACGUACACGUCUAGUUUUAAGUUGUUAUUAAAAAGAGGUUUCUCAUAACAACAAUAACAAAUUAUAUAUGGAAUACUAUUACGUUGAUUUGACAAUACGAAUACACAUCAUCAUUUAAUACCUUUGCAAUAAAUACAACCAUAACUUACCCAACUAUAUCUUCAAUGAUGCUUAUUUAAGUGUUGGAAUUUCAUUUUGUUGAAACACCUUACUCCUAAAUAUGCCAAACCCAAAUAUUCCUGAUGAUUUGCUUGCGAAGAUAGCCAAGAAAAUGGCUGACAAAUGUUGGUGGUACCUCGGACCUAUGUUGAAAUUCGGUCCUCGUGGAAGAGACAUUGUCUACCGUCCAGAUGUCCUCAAAAAUGCAAACAUUUUCAGCAUGUGCGACGAUCCCGAUGACUUAUACGCGGCAGGCCACGAUCCAAAUGACAUCAACUCCGAAAGUCGCUAUAGACCCUUCUUCAAACGGUGCUUAGAAGUUGGUAACCCCACAGCUAUUUACCAUGAAGGACUGCGUCUCGUUACACAUGAGUCUGACAUUCAGGGAGCUAUCCUACACUUAGAGCGAAUUGCCCCAAGGAACGCCGCUGCAAUCCUUGCAUGCGCAAUUCUUUACAUAUGUGCUGGUAAUGCUCACAUGGGUUGUGUCUACUUUCGGCUCUUCGGAAGCAACCAUUAUGCUUUGGAAUCGGAGGAGGCACGUGAAAUUUGUGAGGAGGUGCUAGAAGAUAUAAAGAAAUAUGGUAAUACUUUAAAAUACACAUACGCUAACAGUUUUUCGUUCUCGGAAUGUGGUGACGUAAGCAGUCCUGAAUGCGCGGAGAUGUGUUACAUGAGAUCGAGACUCUUCAAUAAUCUUUGCA
RNAcentral lists this small RNA (1072 nucleotides) under Arabidopsis thaliana (thale cress). Its description in RNAcentral is "ATSL278470". The record is from RNAcentral. Lineage: Eukaryota; Viridiplantae; Streptophyta; Magnoliopsida; Brassicales; Brassicaceae.